UACAGAGGGGGCAAGCGUUAUUCGGAAUUAUUGGGCGUAAAGGGCGCGUAGGCGGCUUGGCAAGUGGAAGGUGAAAGCCCUCGGCUUAACUGAGGAAGUGCAUCCAAAACUGAGUAGCUAGAGUACGAAAGAGGGUCGCGGAAUUCCCGGUGUAGAGGUGAAAUUCGUAGAUAUCGGGAGGAACACCGGUGGCGAAGGCGGCGACCUGGGUCGAGACUGACGCUGAGGCGCGAAAGCGUGGGGAGCAAACAGG
Molecule: ribosomal RNA, 253 nt
Filed under: uncultured bacterium
Lineage: Bacteria
Description: partial 16S ribosomal RNA
Rfam family: Bacterial small subunit ribosomal RNA
Source: RNAcentral